GAUGAACGCUAGCGACAGGCUUAACACAUGCAAGUCGAGGGGUAACAGGGUAGCAAUACCGCUGACGACCGGCGCACGGGUGAGUAACGCGUAUGCAACCUGCCUAUAACUGGGGAAUAGCUCCCUGAAAGGGGAAUUAACACCGCAUAAUACUAUUGAUUCGCAUGGAUUAGUAGUUAAAUGUAGCGAUACAGGUUAUAGAUGGGCAUGCGUGACAUUAGCUAGUUGGUGAGGUAACGGCUCACCAAGGCUACGAUGUCUAGGGGUUCUGAGAGGAAGGUCCCCCACACUGGUACUGAGACACGGACCAGACUCCUACGGGAGGCAGCAGUGAGGAAUAUUGGUCAAUGGGCGCAAGCCUGAACCAGCCAUGUCGCGUGCAGGACGACUGCCCUAUGGGUUGUAAACUGCUUUUAUAGUAGAAGAAACACAUCUACGUGUAGAUGUCUGCCAGUAUACUAUGAAUAAGCAUCGG
RNAcentral lists this ribosomal RNA (475 nucleotides) under uncultured bacterium. RNAcentral describes it as "bacterial SSU rRNA". It matches the Rfam family "Bacterial small subunit ribosomal RNA", at positions 28 to 496 of the family's 1533-position model. The record is from RNAcentral.